This 828-nucleotide ribosomal RNA is filed under the name Triticum aestivum (bread wheat). RNAcentral's name for it is "partial small subunit ribosomal RNA". The record is from RNAcentral. Lineage: Eukaryota; Viridiplantae; Streptophyta; Magnoliopsida; Poales; Poaceae.
GUCCUAGAGAAGCUAACCGCCCUUCUCGGCGACGAGUACAAGCGUUUCAAGGGUGUGCGCAAGGAGAUCAAGUCCCUCACUAGCGAGCUCAUUGCCAUGGAGGCUUUACUCCUGAAGUUGUCAGAGGAGGAGGAUCCUGAUGUGCAAGAUAAAUUUUGGAUGAAUGAGUUGCGGGAGCUGUCCUAUGAUAUGGAGGAUGGCAUCGACGACUUCAUGCAAAGUGUCGAUGACAAUGACGUAAAGCCAGCUGGCUUUAUUGAGAAGAUCAAAACCUCACUAGGGAAGUUGGGAAAGAUGAAGGCUCAUCGUCGGAUUGGAAAAGAGAUCCAUGAUAUGAAGAAACAAAUCAUCAAUGUGGGUGAGUGGAAUGCAAGUUACAAGAGUGGUGAGACCUUCCCCAAGACCAUCAAUGCGACCAUUGACCCUAGAGCUCUUGCUAUCUUCGAGCAUGCAUCAAAACUCGUUGGAAUUGAUAAACCAAAGUCUGAGAUAAUCAAGUUGUUAACGGAAGAGGUUGCCCAUGCACCAGUGAAAGAACAACAACCGAAGAUAGUCUCCAUUGUUGGAUCUGGAGGUAUGGGAAAGACAACUCUUGCAAACCAAGUGUAUCAAAAUUUCAAAGGACAAUACGAGUGCAGGGCUUUCAUAUCGGUGUCACGAAAUGCAGACAUGAUCAAUAUCUUGAGAACCAUUCUCAGUCAACUGGCUAAAAAUAAUUAUGGUAGUACAGAUGUGGGGAGUAUACAACAACUCAUCAGCAAGAUCAAUGAUUUCCUAGCGGACAAAAGGUGCAUGCUAUCUUUAUCUUUUCUUUUCCCUUUUACUUGA